RNAcentral lists this ribosomal RNA (465 nucleotides) under Pseudomonas sp. RHLB12. RNAcentral's name for it is "bacterial SSU rRNA". It matches the Rfam family "Bacterial small subunit ribosomal RNA", at positions 57 to 517 of the family's 1533-position model. The record is from RNAcentral. Lineage: Bacteria; Pseudomonadati; Pseudomonadota; Gammaproteobacteria; Pseudomonadales; Pseudomonadaceae.
GCAAGUCGAGCGGUAGAGAGGAGCUUGCUCCUCUUGAGAGCGGCGGACGGGUGAGUAAUGCCUAGGAAUCUGCCUGGUAGUGGGGGAUAACGUUCGGAAACGGACGCUAAUACCGCAUACGUCCUACGGGAGAAAGCAGGGGACCUUCGGGCCUUGCGCUAUCAGAUGAGCCUAGGUCGGAUUAGCUAGUUGGUGAGGUAAUGGCUCACCAAGGCGACGAUCCGUAACUGGUCUGAGAGGAUGAUCAGUCACACUGGAACUGAGACACGGUCCAGACUCCUACGGGAGGCAGCAGUGGGGAAUAUUGGACAAUGGGCGAAAGCCUGAUCCAGCCAUGCCGCGUGUGUGAAGAAGGUCUUCGGAUUGUAAAGCACUUUAAGUUGGGAGGAAGGGCAGUAAAUUAAUACUUUGCUGUUUUGACGUUACCGACAGAAUAAGCACCGGCUAACUCUGUGCCAGCAGCCG